AGUUGCAGAAGUGUAGUGAAUGGACUGAAGGAUGAAUUUAAUAGGUGGAGCUCUGGUCAAAGAUAUAACUGUCUUGGUGAGUAUGGUUCCAAGAAAGCUGAGCCUUUCCUGUAAAGCAUGCAUGUUUAGCACCACCCAAGUGAAUUUGCUUUGGAGGAGAUGACAAAAGGAUUUAGUGAAAGCUUCAGUUACUUUCUCAAGAGGCUGAUGGUUGUGGCAAGUGGCAACCCAGAAAUGAGAAAACAAAUCCAAUACACCAUUAAGGUGAGCGUUACAUGCCUUUCAACUCCGUGGUAAAUGGGAUACAUAAUAAUUUAGCUUUCUGUUAUGGCGAUACGGUCAGCUCAAACGUGCAUAUGUGUGUGGUAGACAAGCAUGAAGCAACAUAAUCAUAAAAUAUUGUACACUUCAUCUUCAGCUUCAUUUCAACAUACAGAUUUUGCUGAAAUAAUCACUCGUAAGGGUGACGAUACAACUGGAAUUUUGUUGGUCAAAGAAGCUGGUCAAUUAUGUUCAUAACCAAAAUGUUAGGGGUAAAACUGGAAUUUUACUAAAAGGGUAAGGGGUAAGGUGGAAUUUAAGAGGUCAAUGCUAGUUAACUUACAACAAAUGGAAGUUAAGGGCCAAAGGAUUUACUGGGUGUCAUCGUUUUUUGAAUUUAGGGCAACAGUUUCUUUUGGCAAACCUCGUGGGUGCGUACGUUUUUAACCCAAACCCAAUCUAGCAGUUCACUUGUUAAUGACCCACUGGGUUCUUAUUUAAUAAUCUGUGAUCCGUUUAUUAUGUAAGAACUCAAACAUAACCCUUUGAAUUCAAUGGUAUCAUGGAUGAUAGCCUGAA
Mangifera indica (mango) is the source of this 840-nucleotide long non-coding RNA. RefSeq lists it as uncharacterized. Lineage: Eukaryota; Viridiplantae; Streptophyta; Magnoliopsida; Sapindales; Anacardiaceae. The transcript is spliced from 3 exons. The record is from RefSeq and is a predicted model, not a curated record.